GACACGCUGGCGGCGUGCCUGACACAUGCAAGUCGGACGGUUCUUGUACCUUCAAGCUUGCUUGUUGGUGCAAGGAUAGUGGCGGACGGGUGAGUAACGCGUGAACAUCUACCCAUUGAGGGGGACAACCCGUCGAAAGCGGGCUAAUACCGCGUAAGCCGCGAGGUGAGAGGCUGCCUAUUGGUGGCCGCCGAUGGAUGGGUUCGCGUCCUAUCAGCUGGUUGGUGGGGUAACGGCCUACCAAGGCGAAGACGGGUAGCCGGUCUGAGAGGAUGGCCGGCCACACUGGAACUGAGACACGGUCCAGACUCCUACGGGAGGCAGCAGUGGGGAAUAUUGGGCAAUGGGGGAGACCCUGACCCAGCGACGCCGCGUGAGGGACGAAGGCCUUAGGGUCGUAAAGCUCUGUUUUAGGGGACGAAUGUCGAGAGGAAUAAUACGUCUCUCGAAUGACGGUACCCUAAGAGGAAGCCCCGGCUAACUACGUG
RNAcentral lists this ribosomal RNA (488 nucleotides) under uncultured bacterium. RNAcentral describes it as "bacterial SSU rRNA". It matches the Rfam family "Bacterial small subunit ribosomal RNA", at positions 33 to 507 of the family's 1533-position model. The record is from RNAcentral.